UACCUGCAGCUCAAGUGGUGAUCAUUAUUAUUGGGCCUAAAACGUCCGUAGCCGGUUUAGUAAAUGCCUGGGUAAAUCGUGUAGCUUAACUAUACGACUUCCGGGUAGACUGCUAAACUUGAGACCGGGAGAAGCUAGAGGUACUCCUGGGGUAGAGGUGAAAUUCUGUAAUCCUAGGGGGACCACCAGUGGCGAAGGCGUCUAGCUAGAACGGGUCUGACGGUGAGGGACGAAGCCCUGGGGCACAAACCGGAUUAGAUACCCGGGUAGUCCAGGGUGUAAACGCUGCUUGCUUGAUGUUAGUUGGGCUCCGAGCCCAACUAGUGUCGGAGAGAAGUUGUUAAGCAAGCUGCCUGGGAAGUACGGUCGCAAGGCUGAAACUUAAAGGAAUUGGCGGGGGAGCACAGCAACGGGUGGAGCGUGCGGUUU
This 429-nucleotide ribosomal RNA is filed under the name uncultured archaeon. Its description in RNAcentral is "bacterial SSU rRNA". It matches the Rfam family "Archaeal small subunit ribosomal RNA", at positions 474 to 903 of the family's 1478-position model. The record is from RNAcentral.